CCUUCGAUAGCUCAGUUGGUAGAGCGGAGGACUGUAGGUUGAUAAGAGUAGGUAUCCUUAGGUUGCUGGUUUAAUUCCGCCUCAAAGGC
Molecule: transfer RNA, 89 nt
Filed under: Perca fluviatilis (European perch)
Lineage: Eukaryota; Metazoa; Chordata; Actinopteri; Perciformes; Percidae
Rfam family: tRNA
About the family: Transfer RNA (tRNA) molecules are approximately 80 nucleotides in length. Their secondary structure includes four short double-helical elements and three loops (D, anti-codon, and T loops).
Source: Rfam by way of RNAcentral